This 253-nucleotide ribosomal RNA is filed under the name uncultured bacterium. Its description in RNAcentral is "partial 16S ribosomal RNA". It matches the Rfam family "Bacterial small subunit ribosomal RNA", at positions 524 to 776 of the family's 1533-position model. The record is from RNAcentral.
UACGUAGGGACCGAGCGUUGUCCGGAAUCAUUGGGCGUAAAGAGCGUGUAGGCGGCUUGCUAAGUCUUGCGUGAAAUCUCGGGGCUCAACCCCGAGCGGUCGUGGGAAACUGGCAGGCUAGAGUGCGGGAGAGGAGAGUGGAAUUCCUGGUGUAGCGGUGAAAUGCGCGGAUAUCAGGAAGAACACCCGUGGCGAAGGCGGUUCUCUGGAACGCAACUGACGCUGAGACGCGAAAGCGUGGGGAGCAAACAGG